AUUUCUAGAGGGCUUGGAAAAACUUGAGUAUGCAUAUAUACAAAAAAAAGAAGAAGCCCAAAGAGAGGAUGAAGAUUCUGGAGAGAAGCAAGCUCUGAGGAGAAACAUUUCCUUAGAUCCUUAAGUGAAGCUGCUAGCCUGCGAAGUUUCCACCAGAUGGCACCAAAACACUAUAUUCCAAGCACUAAGCCGUCACCGCGCCUUCAGGAGAAAGAGCCGGAACCUUCCGCUCCUCUGAGAUGAUCAAGCACAGGCCCAGGGGACACCUGCCACAGCAUAUGGCUUGACAAGCGGUGCAUAGGUCCACACCUGGGAUCCGAACUGGUGAACCCUGGGCUGCGGAACUGGAACAUGUGAACUUAACUGCUGCGCCACCAGGCUGGCCCCCGUAUACACUUUUAUGAUAUUUUGUAGGUAUACUCUUUUGUAAAAUUUUGCCAACAACUGUAACAUGCAUGUACAUAUACAGAAAGUACAUAAAUAUUUCUUGUUUUGCAAAGAUGUGUGUGCAUGGGGGGUGGGUGCUGUGUCUUCCCACUGCACAGAGUCGCUGUGUCUUGCUCUAGACAUUGGAAGCAUUUCUGGCUGCUUCCUUACCCUGGGGAGUCAUCUGAACGUCCAGAGUUCCCAAAGUGCUUUGGGAUGGCUUAGGCUAAAAGAUGCUAUUUGUUGUGAAGCUAGCUUGUUUUAUUCCCAAGGGAAUUUCAUCAUUUUUGUAUUUGUGAAAACUGUCAUAUUUGGAGAUCUGGGUCUUUCUCAAAAUGCAAUUAUCUGAAAGAAGCAAACCAACACAGAGUAGACCCCUUGUCUUCAAAGUCAUUUUAUUAAGAGUAAAUUAGACUGGAAAAAUGAUAGUCUAAAAUGCAUUUUCAAUAGAUUGCUGUCUAAAAUGCAUUUUCAAUAGAUGGCUGUCAGGCCUGCUACCUGUCAAACAGAGAGGCCUGCAGUCUCAUAGUGACAUAUGGAUUAGCCCAGGCUUCCCCGCAGCGUGAAAACAAAAGACAAUUGGUGAUGCAUGGGGCAAACUCAUCUUAAAACAGAGAUAUCAACAAAGGAAUAUGACAGAAUGAAAAGACUGAGUGCAGGCUGCUGUCCACAUUUGCAAAGAGAUUCUGUCUGAAUCCAUAACUUCAAUACAAUAUGAG
Molecule: long non-coding RNA, 1145 nt
Organism: Equus caballus (horse)
Lineage: Eukaryota; Metazoa; Chordata; Mammalia; Perissodactyla; Equidae
Source: Ensembl